GAUGAACGCUGGCUACGUGCCUAAUACAUGCAAGUCGAGCGAACACAACAGGAGCUUUCUCCUCUGACGUUAUCGGCGGACGGGUGAGUAACACAUGGGUAACCUACCUAUAACACUCGGAUAACUUCCGGAAACCGGAGCUAAUAACGAAUUAUAUAUUUCACCGCCUGGUUCAAUAGUGACAGACGAUUUUUCUGUCGCUUAUAGAUGGGUCCGCGCCGCAUUAGCUAGUUGGUAAGGUAACGGCUUACCAAGGCAACGAUGCGUAGCCGACCUGAGAGGGGGAUCGGCCACACUGGAACUGAGACACGGUCCAGACUCCUACGGGAGGCAGCAGUAGGGAAUCUUCCGCAAUGGGCGAAAGCCUGACGGAGCAACGCCCCGUGAGUGAUGAAGGUCUUCGGAUCGUAAAACUCUGUUAUUAGGGAAGAACAAAUGUGUAAGUAACUAUGCACGUCUUGACGGUACCUAAUCAGAAAGCCACGGCUAACUACGUG
This 497-nucleotide ribosomal RNA is filed under the name uncultured bacterium. Its description in RNAcentral is "partial 16S ribosomal RNA". It matches the Rfam family "Bacterial small subunit ribosomal RNA", at positions 28 to 507 of the family's 1533-position model. The record is from RNAcentral.